This 116-nucleotide ribosomal RNA is filed under the name Methylobacterium sp. RNAcentral also lists the same sequence under 3 other names. The record is from RNAcentral. Lineage: Bacteria; Pseudomonadati; Pseudomonadota; Alphaproteobacteria; Hyphomicrobiales; Methylobacteriaceae.
UCUGGUGGUUUGAGCGGUGUGCCCAGAACCCGAUCCCUUCUCGAACUCGGCCGUUAAACGCACCAGCGCCCAUGGUACUGUGUCUCAAGACACGGGAGAGUCGGUCGCCGCCAGAC